GGUUACAUUAUUUGCCCUAAUAGUGAAUUUAACUAUUCAUAAUGAAGGAAGAAAAACAAUCAUUUGUCUUAUAAUACAUCACCGGAUUUGUAGUAAAGAUGUAGAAGAAAAAGUAGAAUUCUUGCAUCUAGGUCUCCUUCCUCUUCCAAUCAAUGUGUUAAACUUUCAAUUGCUUGAUAUUUUCCUCCUAUGAAUUUCUCUUUUGAUUCUCCAAUUAUGCUCUUUUGCUUCUCGGGCUUUUUUCAUGUCGAGCCAUGGGCGACCCGAGCCGACGAGCCCAACUACCGUCCCUACCUACAUAAGCUAAUGCUCAAUAAGAAAAAAUCUUGCAUGUCAUGAGCAUGAAUAACAAUAAUAUAUGACACCAUGCCAUUUACUUUAAACAUUAUGCUAAAGAUGCAUCAUAUUCAAGUAUUCGUCAAAUUCAACUCAAAAUAACUUCAUUUGAAAUCUUUUAUUAAGCCUUUGACCCACCUACUAUGCACCGGAUAGAGUUCUGCACAAUAUCAAUAUUAAUAUCAAUAAUCAAAUAACUAAUAUGAAAUCGACACUAGGGAGUGGACCACCCUCUUAAGACCACUAGAGGUCCAUCCCCUAACCGUCCCUAUGAUCACCCAAAAGGUAUCCCACUCGACAACACCAAUAAUCAUAACACCACAAGGAUACAGUCGAGUGGUCCCCUAUUUACCUUUGCAAUCACCUGCGAUGGAAGAAUAUAUUAUACCAGCAUGCCU
This 734-nucleotide long non-coding RNA is filed under the name Olea europaea (common olive). RNAcentral describes it as "long non-coding RNA (OEUR_LNC007696)". Lineage: Eukaryota; Viridiplantae; Streptophyta; Magnoliopsida; Lamiales; Oleaceae. The record is from RNAcentral.